AUAAUGUACACAUUUCCCAGGAGGACACUCUUGUUGGGCCACCGGCUGCCAAGUUAUUGUGGCGAGGGUUUUUUGUUGGUUUUUUUAAUUCCUCCAGCUCCGGCAGCUUUCCUUUGUUUUCUUUUGGCUCUUUCUCUCCUCUCUUCGCCUUCAUUUAUCCCCCCUCCUCCAAGAGAAGCAACACCCCCAUCGCUGUUUGAGGAGGAGGAUGAGAGAUGUGGGCAGACACCUUGCAAAUUAAAUAUUGAUCUCGUAAACCUGCUGGUUAAUUCAUCCUGCAGAAUGCAACAGGGAAGUCGUGAAGGGACUGCACUGCUUCAGAUGGCAGUGUGAUUCAUAUUACAGCAAUAGUCUUUGCUGUUAGGAUGUAUGGUUGUGAAAGCUGAACACUGAGAAAGCUGAACGCUUAGAAUUAUGGCUCUGGUCAUGGUUACUAAAAAUACCAUAGAUUGUGAAAAAACAGAUCAGUCCUGGAUCAAAGAAUGCCUGACUCCUGCCUUGAGGCAACGAUUGACAAGGAUAAAUUCAGAUACUUUGAGUAUGCAAUGCAAACAUGCGAAGGGCUAGAAAGAAAGCGUUAGCCUGGGCAAGGUAACAGGAACCAGAAGAAGAGGAAGUCAAUGGAUGCCAUGGAUGAAUGGAACCAAACUACUGGAAAGAUAUUUCUAGAAACAGGUUGAAAUGAUGAGNAUUUGUUUAUGUAGCCACCAACAGUUGACCAUGAUUCAAUGGCACCUAACAACAAAAACAGGAUUCCCUUUUAUCCACGUUUAACACGCUAGCUACUGCGGACUAGAUGAGCUCAAUUAAGGAAACGUUCAUUUUUAUGAACCAGUAACCCAAGGUUCCNAAGCAGGGAACCAAGGAGCCACAAAGACCAAUCCAUGAAAAGUUUCUCCCCUACUAUUUUUUUCACUGGAGUUUGUGCAAGAUCCCUUACGUCUCCCCUGCCAAAACAAAUGGGACUUGGAGGACACAGUCAUUACAGUGCCUCUGCAGAGACAGCAGAGUUCUGCAGGGACCACAAAACCCCAGUUGAUAAAUGCUGACCUUUGCAAGGCUUCCGCUGUGUUUAAUUUUACGAAGGAUCUAGUAAAACCUGAUUGAUUCAUUCAUUAGCUAAUGUUCGUACAACUCUCUGAGAAUGUCGAGGGCCAUAGAACCAUUAACUGUUGUUAUUGAUCGGUCCCCUGCUCCAGAUUGCACUGGCCCCAUAAACACAAGAACAAGGGGUCAUUCUGCAGAGUUAAUGGGGGGUGAACUGAAACAAGCAAUCAGGUUUCCGUGGCCCGAGAAACUAACAGUGCCUAGGCACGUCUCAGGCACAGCAACU
Molecule: long non-coding RNA, 1333 nt
Filed under: Salvator merianae (Argentine black and white tegu)
Lineage: Eukaryota; Metazoa; Chordata; Lepidosauria; Squamata; Teiidae
Description: lncRNA (ENSSMRG00000015096.1)
Source: RNAcentral